AGACACAAGAGUUCUUGGUCCUAGGAAGACAAAUGUUAACUGAAAUGAGGGACAGGAUUUAUUGCAUGACAGACCAAGUGAUGCAAAAGGCAGGGCAUUAUGAUCCAUCCGGAUAUUUUCUCAUAGAAGAUGUGUUUUGCAAUGAUACAAGGGAUCCAUCUGCAAUAGAUUAUAGUGAACCUAUUUUUGAUUGGCUUACAAACUCAAAAGAUGAUGCUCUUAGAAAAUGGGAAUGUAUCAUAAGUGGUGAGUUACAACGAAAACAGAAAGCAGUCAUAGGUGAGGUAACUACUUCACUUCACAGUUGCCCAAAUUCAGAUGUGUUGACAUGCAGAAAACACGGUUUUGUGACUUGAGAUUUCGUCUUGGNNNNNNGCCUCUACUGUCAUCAGGGAGACUGCACGCAUACCAUUGUUAUCAGAGACCUAAGAUUGAUUCAUCCCGAGGAUGUUCAGAACCGGGC
Molecule: unclassified non-coding RNA, 463 nt
Filed under: Hevea brasiliensis (rubber tree)
Lineage: Eukaryota; Viridiplantae; Streptophyta; Magnoliopsida; Malpighiales; Euphorbiaceae
Source: RNAcentral